This 483-nucleotide ribosomal RNA is filed under the name uncultured bacterium. RNAcentral's name for it is "partial 16S ribosomal RNA". It matches the Rfam family "Bacterial small subunit ribosomal RNA", at positions 28 to 507 of the family's 1533-position model. The record is from RNAcentral.
GACGAACGCUGGCGGCGUGCUUAACACAUGCAAGUCGAACGAUGAAGCGGGUGCUUGCACUCGUGGAUUAGUGGCGAACGGGCGAGUAACACGUGAGUAACCUGCCCUUUUCUUUGGGAUAACGUCUGGAAACGGCUGCUAAUACUGGAUAUUCAGGCUGCAUCGCUUGUGGGGGUUUGGAAAUGUUUUUUCUUGGGUUUGGUGGGGUCGCUGCAUAUCAGCUUGUUGGUGGGGUGGUGGCUUAGCAAGGCUUUGACUGGUAGGCGGCCUGGGAGGGUGGGCGGGCGCACGGGGAGUGAGAUUCGGCCCAGACUACGGCGGGAGGCAGCAGUGGGGAAAAUUGCACAAUAGAGUGAAGUUUGAUGCAGCGACGCAGCGUGGAGCGUGUAGGCCUGAGGGUUGUGAACUCCUUUUUAUCGCGAAAAAGGCAGAGUUUUGGCUGUGUUGAUGGUAGUGGGGGAAGAAGCGCCGGCUAACUACGUG